This 120-nucleotide small RNA is filed under the name Salmonella enterica. RNAcentral describes it as "partial RtT sRNA". It matches the Rfam family "RtT RNA", at positions 44 to 130 of the family's 130-position model. Rfam says of the family: This family represents a bacterial cis-regulatory element known as RtT RNA. The exact function of RtT is unknown although it is thought that it may be involved in changing the cellular response in relation to amino acid starvation. RNAcentral also lists the same sequence under 5 other names. The record is from RNAcentral. Lineage: Bacteria; Pseudomonadati; Pseudomonadota; Gammaproteobacteria; Enterobacterales; Enterobacteriaceae.
CGAAUCCUGCACGACCCACCAAUUUAACAUCAAACUCAGAUGUUGAACGUGAAGGAUAACGUUGCGUCAGCAACGGCCCGUAGGGCGAGGCGAAGCCGAGUCAUCCUGCACGACCCACCA